RNAcentral lists this long non-coding RNA (2481 nucleotides) under Homo sapiens (human). RNAcentral describes it as "ADAPT35". The record is from RNAcentral. Lineage: Eukaryota; Metazoa; Chordata; Mammalia; Primates; Hominidae.
CCUGCACCCAGGUGAAAUAAACAGCCAUGUAGCUCACACAACGCCUGUUUGGUGGUCUCUUCACACGGACGCACAUGAAAUUUGGUGCCCUGACUCGGAUCGGGGGACCUCCCUUGGGAGAUCAAUCCCCUGUCCUCCUGUUCUUUGCUCCCUGAGAAAGAUCCACCUAUGACUUCAGGUCCUCAGACUGACCAGCCCAAGGAACAUCUCACCAAUUUUAAAUCAGGUCUCCCACAGGAACUUGCUACACGUGCUGGAAAUCUGGCAACUGGACCAAGGAAUGCCCGCAGCCCGGGAUUCCUAAGCCGCAUCCCAUCUGUGUGGGACCCCACGGAAAAUCGGACUGUUCAACUCACCUGGCAGCCACUCCCAGAGCCCCUGGAACUCUGGCCCAAGGCUCUCUGACUCCUUCCCAGAUCUUCUCGGCCUAGCGGUUGAAGACUGACACUGCCCAAUCACCUCGGAAGCCCCCUAGACCAUCACGGACGCCGAGCUUCAGGUAACUCUAAACACUGCCUUCACUGAAUCUCACACAUCUUGAGAACUAGUGCUUUUAUGUUGGAAACGACGAGGCUGAAUCCUGUUGGAGUGAUUUGUUCUUCGGACUUUGUAUCUUAAAUGAAAUCUUCUCCCUUAGAGGCCACAUAAACUGAUGGUACAAUCUGCAACUCUAAGCAAAUUCAUAGGUUAUACUUUUUCUUCUUCAUACUUGACAUUUGAACCUAGCAAGUUUGAAUAGCCUGUAAUUUGAAAACUCCCUUGCACAUCUAGCAGAUCAAGGUAGCUUGUUCUGCCUUCUGGACAAAUGGUGCCCUUAAGUCAGCUUAGGGAGACUGUUCCGAUAUCAAGAUUCUGUUUGAAUACUAUAUACUCUCAGCUGCUUAUUUAUUCAUAUAUAUAUGACACGUUUAUCAUGGAAGUAUUUCAAAACUAUCUGAAAAUGAAUAUUGAUUAUUAAGGCAUUCAGUUUUAGGAAGAAAACAUACAUAAAUAUAUGAUCUUCAUUAUUUUCCUUUCUCCAUGCAAUUUCAAUAGAUAUUUAUCAAGAACUCAAAAUAUGCCUAGCACUGCCUAGGUGUUGGAAACAUUAGAGAAAUUAAAACAGAUAAAUUCCUUCCUUUAGUAGACUUAGUCUAACUAAAUAAAUGAUUUUUAAAAGGGCAUAAUAAAUGGUAUAAGCAAAAGAAAAUGAAGGUGAGGGGAAUAGGGCAUGCCAAGUAGGGAGCUGCUAUUUUAAUGAGGCCUAGGAGAAAACCAUUUAUAAGGUGACAUUUGAGCAGAGACCUAAAGAAAGUGAGAAAACGUGAUACAUGUAUGUACAUGGAAAAAGAAUAUAAUAAGCAAAAAAAAAAAAAAAAAUGGAGGCCAAGAGGGAAUCUUAUGCAUUACACAGAUUUUGAACUAAAAGCAAGAAGGCCAUAAUGGCUAAAAAUAAAUGAGGAUUCAUUAAAGAGGGUGAAGAAUAUAGAGAGUUAGGACUAUUGCUGUGAUGUAAAGUCAUUGGAGAGAUGACCUGAGAGAUUAGAACCCUGGGGUAACUUACAUUUCAUUUGCUGUUUUAUUCCAAAGUGAUAUUCAUUAUCUAAAGAAAAAAAUCAAAUAUACAGAAAUGAUAAAAUACAAAACAAUGCUGACCUUUAAGAAACAUUGACCUAUAAAUACUAAGAUGUUAAAUAUUUGUUUCUUGUGAUUUGUAUCUUUAUUGAUGUGAUAAUUAUGUAUCUAUAAGUUUUUUUAAUGCUCCAUGGUAUUAACAACCCAUUAUGAUUUGCAUUUAAGAUUAUUUAGAGUAUUCAGUGUAAUAAAUAAUGCAAAUGUAGGCAAAAGCUUUUCCAUGUAUACACACACACUACACACUAUAUUUUUAAUUAUUUCAUUCACAUAGAUUAAAAUAAACUUUUGUUUAAUGUAAAACAAUAUUGAUGCUCCCAACUCCCUAGUUACUUUGUACAAUUUGCAUGCCUACCAGCAAUGAUGAAUAUCCUAAUUGCCUUAAACAUAUCUAUAUUAUGUCAAAUCUUUCAUGCACUUUCAGUGUCUGACUUCUUUAGCACUGAAGUUCAUGCUCAGAUUUAAAGGGCCUGUAUGAAUAGGUGAGGCCCACCUGAAUACUCUGCAGAUAACCUGAUUUGGUACCUUAAUUCCAUCUUUAAAAUCCUUUCUAGCAACACCUACAUUCAUGAUUGAUAGACUAACUGAGAGAAGGUAUAUACACCACGGACUGCGAAUUUUGGAGGUCACUUUAGAAUUCUGUCUACCACGGAUACAUUUGAAUAUAUCUGCACAUUUACAUAUAGUUGUCACCACAUUAAGGAAAAUUAACAUAUAGAUUACCCCGAAAAAUUUCCUCAAACUAUUUUAUAAUUCCUUAAUCCCACCCCUUCUUGCCCUCUUUACCACCUUCAAUUCUAGGAAACUGCACCUAUGCUUUUUGUCACUAUGAUUGGUUUGUUGUGUCUGAGAUUUUAUAUAAAUGUCACC